AUUGAACGCUGGCGGCAGGCCUAACACAUGCAAGUCGAACGAGUGGCGGACGGGUGAGUAAUGUCUGGGAAACUGCCUGAUGGAGGGGGAUAACUACUGGAAACGGUAGCUAAUACCGCAUACCAUCGGAUGUGCCCAGAUGGGAUUAGCUAGUAGGGGGGGUAAAGGCUCACCUAGGCGCCGAUCCCUAGCUGGUCUGAGAGGAGUCCCAGCCAAACUGGAACGGAGACACGGUCCAGACUCCUACGGGUGGCAGCAGUGGUGAAUAUUGCACAAUGGGCGCAAGCCUGAUGCAGCCAUGCCGCGUGGAUGAAGAAGGCCUUCGGGUUGUAAAGUACUUUCAGCGGGGAGGCGUUACCCGCAGAAGAAGCACCGGCUAACUCCGUGCCAGCAGCCGCGGUAAUAC
RNAcentral lists this ribosomal RNA (406 nucleotides) under uncultured bacterium. RNAcentral describes it as "partial 16S ribosomal RNA". It matches the Rfam family "Bacterial small subunit ribosomal RNA", at positions 30 to 526 of the family's 1533-position model. The record is from RNAcentral.